This 72-nucleotide transfer RNA is filed under the name Ictidomys tridecemlineatus (thirteen-lined ground squirrel). Its description in RNAcentral is "Spermophilus tridecemlineatus (thirteen-lined ground squirrel) tRNA". It matches the Rfam family "tRNA". Rfam says of the family: Transfer RNA (tRNA) molecules are approximately 80 nucleotides in length. The record is from Rfam by way of RNAcentral. Lineage: Eukaryota; Metazoa; Chordata; Mammalia; Rodentia; Sciuridae.
GGGGUUGUGGCUUAGUGGUAGAGCACUUGCCUCAUUCGCAUGAGGCACUGGGUUCCAUCCUCAGCAUCACAU